GCGUGGGUGAUGAAGGCCUUCGGGUUGUAAAGCCCUUUCGGCGGGGACGAUGAUGACGGUACCCGCAGAAGAAGCCCCGGCUAACUUCGUGCCAGCAGCCGCGGUAAUACGAAGGGGGCUAGCGUUGUUCGGAAUUACUGGGCGUAAAGGGCGCGCAGGCGGCUUGGCAAGUUGGGCGUGAAAGGCCCGGGCUUAACCCGGGAACUGCGCUCGAUACUGCCAGGCUCGAGUGUGGGAGAGGAUGGUGGAAUUCCUAGUGUAGAGGUGAAAUUCGU
This 275-nucleotide ribosomal RNA is filed under the name uncultured bacterium. Its description in RNAcentral is "partial 16S ribosomal RNA". It matches the Rfam family "Bacterial small subunit ribosomal RNA", at positions 399 to 691 of the family's 1533-position model. The record is from RNAcentral.